Long non-coding RNA from Oncorhynchus tshawytscha (Chinook salmon), 410 nucleotides. NCBI's taxonomy places the organism in Eukaryota, Metazoa, Chordata, Actinopteri, Salmoniformes, Salmonidae. The record is from Ensembl.
UGGGGGUUGUAGUGUUGGGGUUACAGUUGACUGCUUGUCGGUGGAGGUUGUGGUGUUGGGGCUACAGUUGACUGCUUGUCGGUGGAGGUUGUAGUGUUGGGGUUACAGUUGAUUGCUUGUCGGUGAAGCUUGUAGUGUUGGGGCUACAGUUGACUGCUUGUCGGUGGAGGUUGUAGUGUUGGGGUUACAGUUGAUUGCUUGUCGGUGGAGGUUGUGGUGUUGGGGCUACAGUUGACUGCUUGUCGGUGGAGGUUGUGGUGUUGGGGCUACAGUUGACUGCUUGUCGGUGGAGGUUGUUGUGUUGGGGCUACAGUUGACUGCUUGUCGGUGGAGGUUGUGGUGUUGGGGUUACAGUUGAUUGCCUGUCAGUGGAAGUUGUAGUGUUGGGGUUACAUUUGAUUGCCUGUCGG